GGGGCUACACACGUCAUACAAUGGCCGGUACGAGAGGGUAGCCAACCCGCGAGGGGGAGCCAAUCCCACAAAGCCGGUCGUAGUCCGGAUCGCAGUCUGCAACUCGACUGCGUGAAGUCGGAAUCGCUAGUAAUCGCGGAUCAGCAUGUCGCGGUGAAUACGUUCCCGGGUCUU
Molecule: ribosomal RNA, 174 nt
Filed under: uncultured Allobrachymonas sp.
Lineage: Bacteria; Pseudomonadati; Pseudomonadota; Betaproteobacteria; Burkholderiales; Comamonadaceae
Description: uncultured Brachymonas sp. partial 16S ribosomal RNA
Rfam family: Bacterial small subunit ribosomal RNA
Source: RNAcentral